This 651-nucleotide long non-coding RNA is filed under the name Crocodylus porosus (Australian saltwater crocodile). RNAcentral describes it as "lncRNA (ENSCPRG00005009630.1)". Lineage: Eukaryota; Metazoa; Chordata; Crocodylia; Crocodylidae. The record is from RNAcentral.
CUUUCUCUUUGGCAGGGCUAUACUAAACCAUCGAUGUAAAGGUGAGUCAGGGUGGAAAAAUGAAAAGCAAUAAGAAUGCUGGCUAGCUGAACGGGCCAGGUUGUGCGCUUGUCUGAAGCAGCUGUGCAUGGUUAAACCUCUGUCUUUGGAGCUCUUUGAAGUCUAAGUCCCAAUCCAUUCUUCGGAUGCCCUGGCUUCUGUUGCGGCUUUUGAGCUGGCAGAAUUUCCAUUCUCUUUGCUUAUGAUUGAAGUGGUGCCUUUGCUCGGAUCACAAUUGGGAGCCUGGUGGAUUGAGGGCUGGAUUAUCUCCACCAUUUCGGCAGUGCACAGGACUUGAGUCAAGGACAAGCAUCCCAGCUGUGAUGGGCACGGCACAGACAAGCAUCCAAAACAACAGUCUAGAUGGAAAGCAGGUGGAAGAAGCAGGCACAUGGUUUGAGAGGAUAAAGUAACGAUAAAAGAAGUAAAAGUUGAUCCCACAGGACACCCUCCCUGGCUGAUCUGUGCCAGGCUUUGUCCCCAUUUCUAAGGAAACCAAAUCAAGCACGUGCUGCAUUACGGAAGCACCCUGCCAAUGCACCCUGCCAUGCCUGCCGACAAGGAAAGCCUGCAGACUGAAGCUUCAGGACUGGAAAAGCUGGGGCAUCCUUA